RNAcentral lists this ribosomal RNA (469 nucleotides) under uncultured bacterium. RNAcentral's name for it is "partial 16S ribosomal RNA". It matches the Rfam family "Bacterial small subunit ribosomal RNA", at positions 28 to 507 of the family's 1533-position model. The record is from RNAcentral.
GACGAACGCUGGCGGCGUGCUUAACACAUGCAAGUCGAACGGAAAGGCCCUGCUUGCAGGGUGCUCUCGUGGCGAACGGGUGAGUAACACGUGGGUGUUCUGCCCCUUACUCUGGGAUAAGCCUGGGAAACUGGGUCUAUUACUGGAUAGGACCAUGCCGUCGGUGGUGUGGUGGAUGGAUUAGUUUCGGUAAGGGAUGAGGUCGCGGCGUAUCAGCUUGUUGGUGGGGUAAUGGCCGACCCAGGCGGCGACGGGUGGCCGGGCUGAGGGGGGGGUCGGCGACAUUGUGGCUGAGGUACGGCGCAGAAGCCUACGGGGGGCAGCAGUGGGGAGGAAUGCACAAUAAUGGGAGGCCGGAUGAAGCGACGCCGCGGGGUGGAUGACGGCGGUCGUGUUGUAAACUCCCGUCAGCCAUUGCGAAGCCGUUGUGGUGACGGUAGUGGGAGAAGAAGCACCGGCUAACUACGUG